ACCAUCAGUCAGAAAGACGACAUCGAGGAUAAAAGCUUUUUACCAGGAGCUCAGGGUCCAAACUUUCAGGUUCCUGUUACAUCCAGCAACUAAUCCCAGCCGAAGGAACAAGGUGUGCAGACAAUCUGGAAAUGACAUCACCAAUUAAACAGCAGCUCUCUAAUCCAGCACAGUGGGCUCUGGGAUAAAAUGGGGAAAGAGAUGAUGGAUAGGCUUUGAGACAAAGAGAGGGAAUCCAGAAAGACGGACACGCGCACAGGAAGCCCCUGCUAACGGACGCGGUCGGCUCUCCGUUCCAGUCGGGGGCCUUUCAGCAAAGGUCCAGGCAGAUAAACUUCCUCCUAAUGAGGGAGCAAGACGGCUGUUGGACAUGCUGAGAAGCUAUUAUUAGUUCUUACUUGGCUUGCUGGAGGAAAAUGGAUUCGCUAUGACUAAGCAUGUCUCUUCUUGAAACAUAUCCAGACGUCCACAUGUUAAUAUGUAAUGCACCUUAGAAAUCUUAUUUUCCUCUCUGAUGCCUUGAUGUCAAAAUGACAGGACAGAAUUUUUGCGGUCUUCCAUUUGACACGGUGCAUUUUACAAUCUGUACUUUGCCUCAUCACUUUUGUA
This is a long non-coding RNA of Xiphophorus couchianus (Monterrey platyfish), 609 nucleotides long. RefSeq lists it as uncharacterized. The record is from RefSeq and is a predicted model, not a curated record. The transcript is spliced from 3 exons. Lineage: Eukaryota; Metazoa; Chordata; Actinopteri; Cyprinodontiformes; Poeciliidae.